CUCUAGAGAGACUGCCAGGGAUAACCUGGAGGAAGGUGGGGAUGACGUCAAAUCAUCAUGCCCCUUAUGCUUAGGGCUACACACGUGCUACAAUGGGUAGUACAGAGGGUUGCAAAGCCGUAAGGUGGAGCUAAUCCCUUAAAGCUACUCUCAGUUCGGAUUGUAGGCUGAAACUCGCCUACAUGAAGCUGGAGUUACUAGUAAUCGCAGAUCAGA
Molecule: ribosomal RNA, 216 nt
Filed under: Clostridioides difficile
Lineage: Bacteria; Bacillati; Bacillota; Clostridia; Peptostreptococcales; Peptostreptococcaceae
Description: partial 16S ribosomal RNA
Rfam family: Bacterial small subunit ribosomal RNA
Source: RNAcentral